CCUACGGGAGGCAGCAGUGGGGAAUAUUGCGCAAUGGACGAAAGUCUGACGCAGCAACGCCGCGUGAGGGAUGACGGCCUUCGGGUUGUAAACCUCUUUCAGCAGGGACGAAGCGAGAGUGACGGUACCUGCAGAAGAAGGACCGGCCAACUACGUGCCAGCAGCCGCGGUAAUACGUAGGGUCCGAGCGUUGUCCGGAAUUAUUGGGCGUAAAGGGCUCGUAGGCGGUUCGUCACGUCGGGAGUGAAAACUCGGAGCUCAACUCUGAGCCUGCUUCCGAUACGGGCAGACUAGAGGUAGGCAGGGGAGAGCGGAACUCCUGGUGUAGCGGUGGAAUGCGCAGAUAUCAGGAAGAACACCGGUGGCGAAGGCGGCUCUCUGGGCCUUACCUGACGCUGAGGAGCGAAAGCGUGGGUAGCGAACAGGAUUAGAUACCCUGGUAGUCCACGCCGUAAACGUUGGGCGCUAGGUGUGGGGGACAUUCCACGUCCUCCGUGCCGCAGCUAACGCAUUAAGCGCCCCGCCUGGGGAGUACGGCCGCAAGGCUAAAACUCAAAGGAAUUGACGG
Molecule: ribosomal RNA, 568 nt
Filed under: uncultured bacterium
Lineage: Bacteria
Description: bacterial SSU rRNA
Rfam family: Bacterial small subunit ribosomal RNA
Source: RNAcentral